GAUGAACGCUGGCGGCGUGCUUAACACAUGCAAGUCGAACGAUGAAGCCCAGCUUGCCGGGUGGAUUAGUGGCGAACGGGUGAGUAACACGUGAGUAACCUGCCCUUAACUCUGGGAUAAGCCUGGGAAACUGGGUCUAAUACCGGAUAGGAGCGUCCACCGCAUGGUGGGUGUUGGAAAGAUUUAUCGGUUUUGGAUGGACUCGCGGCCUAUCAGCUUGUUGGUGAGGUAAUGGCUCACCAAGGCGACGACGGGUAGCCGGCCUGAGAGGGUGACCGGCCACACUGGGACUGAGACACGGCCCAGACUCCUACGGGAGGCAGCAGUGGGGAAUAUUGCACAAUGGGCGCAAGCCUGGUGCAGCGACGCCGCGUGAGGGAUGACGGCCUUCGGGUUGUAAACCUCUUUCAGUAGGGAAGAAGCGAAAGUGACGGUACCUGCAGAAGAAACACCGGCGAACUACGU
This 465-nucleotide ribosomal RNA is filed under the name uncultured bacterium. RNAcentral's name for it is "partial 16S ribosomal RNA". It matches the Rfam family "Bacterial small subunit ribosomal RNA", at positions 28 to 506 of the family's 1533-position model. The record is from RNAcentral.